GGMGCAAGCCUGAUGCAGCCAUGCCGCGUKUKKGAAGAAGGCCUUCGGGUUGUAAAGCACUUUCAGCGGGGAGGAGGCGAURAGGUUAAUAACCUYRKYGAUUGACGUUACCCGCAGAAGAAGCACCGGCUAACUCCGUGCCAGCAGCCGCGGUAAUACGGRAGGGUGCAAGCGUUAAUCGGAAUUACUGGGCGUAAAGCGCACGCAGGCGGUCUGUCAAAGUCGGAUGUGAAAUCCCCGGGCUCAACCUGGGAACUGCAUUCGAAACUGGCAGGCUAGAGUCUUGUAGAGGGGGGUAGAAWUUCCAGGUGUAGCGGUGAAAUGCGUAGAGAUCUGGAGGAAUACCGGUGGCGAAGGCGGCCCCCUGGACAAAGACUGACGCUCAGGUGCGAAAGCGUGGGGAGCAAACAGGAUUAGAUACCCUGGUAGUCCACGCCGUAAACGAUGUCGAUUUGGAGGUUGUGCCCUUGAGGCGUGGCUUCCGGAGCUAACGCGUUAAAUCGACCGCCUGGGGAGUACGGCCGCAAGGUUAAAACUCAAAUGAAUUGACGGGGGCCCGCACAAGCGGUGGAGCAUGUGGUUUAAUUCGAUGCAACGCGAAGAACCUUACCUGGUCUUGACAUCCACAGAACUUUCCAGAGAUGGAUUGGUGCCUUCGGGAACUGUGAGACAGGUGCUGCAUGGCUGUCGUCAGCUCGUGUUGUGAAAUGUUGGGUUAAGUCCCGCAACGAGCGCAACCCUUAUCCUUUGUUGCCAGCGGUYMGGCCGGGAACUCAAAGGAGACUGCCAGUGAUAAACUGGAGGAAGGUGGGGAUGACGUCAAGUCAUCAUGGCCCUUACGACCAGGGCUACACACGUGCUACAAUGGCAUAUACAAAGAGAAGCGACCUCGCGAGAGCAAGCGGACCUCAUAAAGUAUGUCGUAGUCCGGAUUGGAGUCUGCAACUCGACUCCAUGAAGUCGGAAUCGCUAGUAAUCGUAGAUCAGAAUGCUACGGUGAAUACGUUCCCGGGCCUUGUACACACCGCMCGUCACACCAUGGGAGUGGGUUGCAAAAGAAGUAGGUAGCUUAACCUCGGGAGGGCGCUACCCMCWUUWWA
RNAcentral lists this ribosomal RNA (1100 nucleotides) under Klebsiella pneumoniae. RNAcentral describes it as "bacterial SSU rRNA". The record is from RNAcentral. Lineage: Bacteria; Pseudomonadati; Pseudomonadota; Gammaproteobacteria; Enterobacterales; Enterobacteriaceae.